RNAcentral lists this ribosomal RNA (420 nucleotides) under uncultured bacterium. RNAcentral describes it as "bacterial SSU rRNA". It matches the Rfam family "Bacterial small subunit ribosomal RNA", at positions 355 to 774 of the family's 1533-position model. The record is from RNAcentral.
UGAGGAAUAUUGGGCAAUGCCCGCAAGGGUGACCCAGCAACGCCGCGUGGAGGAUGAAUGUCGUAAGAUUGUAAACUCCUGUUAGAGGGGAAGAAUAGUACCGGUUGGACCGGUAUAUGACUGUACCCUCAGAGAAAGCCCCGGCUAACUACGUGCCAGCAGCCGCGGUAAUACGUAGGGGGCAAGCGUUGUCCGGAUUUACUGGGUGUAAAGGGCGCGCAGGCGGGAUAAAAAGUCAGUGGUGAAAUCCUACAGCUUAACUGUAGAACUGCCUUUGAUACUUUUAUUCUUGAGUUCGGGAGAGAGACGGAAUUCCAGGGGUAGUGGUGAAAUACGUAGAUAUCUGGAAGAACACCAGUUGCGAAGGCGGUCUCUUGGUCCGACACUGACGCUGAGGCGCGAAAGCGUGGGUAGCAAACA